Molecule: ribosomal RNA, 523 nt
Filed under: uncultured Glomus
Lineage: Eukaryota; Fungi; Glomeromycota; Glomeromycetes; Glomerales; Glomeraceae
Description: SSU rRNA
Rfam family: Eukaryotic small subunit ribosomal RNA
Source: RNAcentral
AGCAGCCGCGGUAAUUCCAGCUCCAAUAGCGUAUAUUAAAGUUGUUGCAGUUAAAAAGCUCGUAGUUGAAUUUCGGGGUCAGUAGGUUGGUCAUGCCACUGGUAUGUACUGGCCUCACUGAUUCCUCCUUCCUGAUGAGCCGUAAUGCCAUUAAUUUGGUGUUGCGAGGAAUCUGGACUGUUACUUUGAAAAAAUUAGAGUGUUUAAAGCAGGCUAACGCUUGAAUACAUUAGCAUGGAAUAAUGAAAUAGGACGUUCGAUCUUAUUUUGUUGGUUUCUAAGAUUGACGUAAUGAUUAAUAGGGAUAGUUGGGGGCAUUAGUAUUCAAGUGUCAGAGGUGAAAUUCUUGGAUUUAUUGAAGACUAACUACUGCGAAAGCAUUUGCCAAGGAUGUUUUCAUUAAUCAAGAACGAAAGUUAGGGGAUCGAAGCCGAUCAGAUACCGUCGUAGUCUUAACCAUAAACUAUGCCGACUAGGGAUCGGAUGAUGUUAAUUUUUUAAUGACUCAUUCGGCGCCUUACGG